GACGAACGCUGGCGGCGUGCUUAACACAUGCAAGUCGAACGGAAAGGCCUUUUCGGAGGUACUCGAGUGGCGAACGGGUGAGUAACACGUGGGUGAUCUGCCCUGCACUCUGGGAUAAGCCUGGGAAACUGGGUCUAAUACCGGAUAGGACCGCACUUUAGUGUGUGUGGUGGAAAGUUUUUUCGGUGUAGGAUGAGCCCGCGGCCUAUCAGCUUGUUGGUGGGGUAAUGGCCUACCAAGGCGGCGACGGGUAGCCGGACUGAGAGGUUGGUCGGCCACAUUGGGACUGAGAUACGGCCCAGACUCCUACGGGAGGCAGCAGUGGGGAAUAUUGCACAAUGGGCGCAAGCCUGAUGCAGCGACGCCGUGUGGGGGAUGACGGCCUUCGGGUUGUAAACUCCUUUCGCCAGGGACGAAGCGUUUUGUGACGGUACCUGGAGAAGAAGCACCGGCUAACUACGUG
RNAcentral lists this ribosomal RNA (463 nucleotides) under uncultured bacterium. RNAcentral's name for it is "partial 16S ribosomal RNA". It matches the Rfam family "Bacterial small subunit ribosomal RNA", at positions 28 to 507 of the family's 1533-position model. The record is from RNAcentral.